Molecule: ribosomal RNA, 424 nt
Filed under: uncultured Chroococcales cyanobacterium
Lineage: Bacteria; Bacillati; Cyanobacteriota; Cyanophyceae; Chroococcales
Description: bacterial SSU rRNA
Rfam family: Bacterial small subunit ribosomal RNA
Source: RNAcentral
UGGGGAAUUUUCCGCAAUGGGCGAAAGCCUGACGGAGCAACGCCGCGUGAGGGAUGAAGGCCUCUGGGCUGUAAACCUCUUUUCUCAAGGAAGAAGAUCUGACGGUACUUGAGGAAUAAGCCAUGGCUAAUUCCGUGCCAGCAGCCGCGGUAAUACGGGAGUGGCAAGCGUUAUCCGGAAUUAUUGGGCGUAAAGCGUCCGCAGGCGGCCUCGUAAGUCUGUCGUUAAAGCGUGGAGCUUAACUCCAUUUCAGCGAUGGAAACUGCGAGGCUAGAGUGUGGUAGGGGCAGAGGGAAUUCCCGGUGUAGCGGUGAAAUGCGUAGAUAUCGGGAAGAACACCAGUGGCGAAGGCGCUCUGCUGGGCCAUAACUGACGCUCAUGGACGAAAGCCAGGGGAGCGAAAGGGAUUAGAUACCCCUGUAGU